CCUGAUCGGUGCGAUCACGAUUCCUGAAGA
Molecule: ribosomal RNA, 30 nt
Filed under: Acinetobacter baumannii 44895_3
Lineage: Bacteria; Pseudomonadati; Pseudomonadota; Gammaproteobacteria; Moraxellales; Moraxellaceae
Source: RNAcentral